AUGCAAGUCGAGCGCGCCUUCGGGCGAGCGGCGGAUGGGUUAGUAACGCGUGGGAACGUGCCCAGAUCUACGGAAUAGCCACUGGAAACGGUGAGUAAUACCGUAUACGCCCUUCGGGGGAAAGAUUUAUCGGAUUUGGAUCGGCCCGCGUUAGAUUAGGUAGUUGGUGGGGUAACGGCCUACCAAGCCUACGAUCUAUAGCUGGUUUUAGAGGAUGAUCAGCAACACUGGGACUGAGACACGGCCCAGACUCCUACGGGAGGCAGCAGUGGGGAACCUUGGACAAUGGGGGCAACCCUGAUCCAGCCAUGCCGCGUGAGUGAAGAAGGCCCUAGGGUCGUAAAACUCUUUCGCCUGUGAUGAUAAUGACAGUAGCAGGUAAAGAAACCCCGGCUAACUCCGUGCCAGCAGCCGCGGUAAUACGGAGGGGGUUAGCGUUGUUCGGAAUUACUGGGCGUAAAGCGCACGUAGGCGGAUUAGAAAGUUAGAGGUGAAAUCCCGGGGCUCAACCCCGGAACUGCCUUUAAAACUAUUAGUCUAGAGUUCGAGAGAGGUGAGUGGAAUUCCGAGUGUAGAGGUGAAUUCGUAGAUAUUCGGAGGGAACACCAGUGGCGAGGGCGGCUCACUGGCUCGAUACUGACGCUGAGGUGCGGAAGUGUGGGGAGCAAACAGGAAUAGAUACCCUGGUAGUCCACACCGUAAACGAUGAAUGCCAGUCGUCGGAUAGUAUACUAUUCGGUGGACACCACCUAACGGAUUAAGCAUUCCGCCUGGGGAGUACGGUCGCAAGAUUAAAACUCAAAG
Molecule: ribosomal RNA, 804 nt
Filed under: uncultured marine bacterium
Lineage: Bacteria
Description: bacterial SSU rRNA
Rfam family: Bacterial small subunit ribosomal RNA
Source: RNAcentral